AUUGAACGCUGGCGGCAUGGCUAAUGCAUGCAAGUCGAACGAAAGCCCUUCGGGGCGAAAGUGGCGAAAGGGCGAGUAAUACGAUCGAACGUACCCCAAGGUGGAGGAUAGUGUCGGGAAACUGACGGUAAUACUCCAUGUGCUCUUCGGAGGAAAGCUUUGGCGCCUCGGGAGCGGCGAUCGUCCUAUCAGGUAGUUGGUGAGGUAAUGGCUCACCAAGCCGAAGACGGGUAGCGGGUGUGAGAGCAUGACCCGCCGCAUCGGGACUGAGACACUGCCCGGACUCCUACGGGAGGCUGCAGCGACGAAUCUUCCGCAAUGGGCGCAAGCCUGACGGAGCAAUGCCGCGUGUGGGACGAAGCGUCUUCGACGUGUAAACCACUGUCAGAAUCUAGGAACACUGACCAGAUUCAAAGGAAGGGCCGGCUAACCUCGUGCCAGCAGCCGCGGUAAUGUAGACG
This 461-nucleotide ribosomal RNA is filed under the name uncultured bacterium. RNAcentral describes it as "bacterial SSU rRNA". It matches the Rfam family "Bacterial small subunit ribosomal RNA", at positions 29 to 531 of the family's 1533-position model. The record is from RNAcentral.